Long non-coding RNA from Daphnia pulex (common water flea), 1762 nucleotides. RefSeq lists it as uncharacterized. The transcript is spliced from 9 exons. Lineage: Eukaryota; Metazoa; Arthropoda; Branchiopoda; Diplostraca; Daphniidae. The record is from RefSeq and is a predicted model, not a curated record.
AAUUACACAUUUAAGCAAGAACAUUUUUUCCUUCUAUCUAUUGUAGGUCUCCUACUACUCAUUUCUUGUAGCUGUCUGAUACGCAUGUUUGACCACAGCGCGUCUGCUCGACGCAUGAAGAGACGCAGCCCAUAUACUUUACGCCACCAUCCGCAAUCAUCCGGAUGUUAAUCGGUUGGAAACUGAAGUGAAAAGAGACUGUCAUGACUUGUUGGAGCAACAUUCGCACCCAAAUGAUCAAAUGGUUGCAGAGCUUUACAUUUAUGAACACUUGGAGACUCUGCCGUGUCGCAGGUUAUAAUUUAAACAGUUGGACCAAGUUGCCGACAGUGGGAAAUGGUGUACAUCAGACCUACAACUAUAGAUAGUUCCGUGUCCCAUUAUGACCCAGUUCGUCGCCGUUAAUACUGAACGUGUGUUGCCAACCGACUCUUGAGGUGACAACUAUUCAACUAGAAUAUCUGGCAGCAUCCUCAAUGCAGUGUUUCGUCGGCAUCAACCAAUAACGGUAGUGAUCCAGCAUCAUCAUCCACCUCUCAUCCUUCCGGCGGUAGAUACGAAUUGCCUCAGCAGCAACAGUCUGGUCCAUCAACUCCAUUCCGUUGGUGGGGAAUACGUUGGAUCAACUAGUCAAGGAUCAUCUGCAGGAUAUCAGAACUCCGAUCUUUCGAUGUGCUUCGGUGAAGAGCAGCUGAAAAGGUGACGCAAAGUCUCAUCACGGCCAUUCUCCAGCGCCUGAGGAAAAUGAAACCUGAAACGAAAUGAACCCUACCUAUCCACUGAUCACAUUCCAUCUCCAAAAGGACUGCAUUGCCACACUAAACCGUUUAACAGUCUGCCAGUCUCUACUUGACAAAGCUGAAAUGUCAACGAAUGUUACGAAGCAGUAGAACAUGAGUUGACCACAAUUCGGUAAAUGUCUCGCUUUUCCUGGUUUAACUUUGCUCUACCCACCGUCCAAACACUAACAACUCACUACAAUUUAACGAUGAACAACUCGUUGGAUUUAACUCAAAUUAUUUUCGUGACAAAAGUUGCGAAAUAAAACAAACAAACUGCCAUCCGCAACUCAUGUUCAGCAGUUCAACACUGGCGCUUGUCUGUUCUCUGUUGCCAACUGAAAUCCCCGCAAUUUCUCCAGUCUCCACUGCACACAACGUUACGCGCUUCCACUUGAAUGUCCUACGGCUAGUUAUACAAAAGAGAGAGGAAAGAAUAUCUAAAUUUCUUUACCUAUCAGUCUUGGGUUUUUUACCUAUUCAAGUCCAUUUCGAGCUGUUUAAGGCGCGCAGUUUUCACAUUUAAAAAUUUGGAUUGCUCAUUGGUAAAGGCAAAUUAAGGAACUGCUCUCACACAUCUUUCUACAGCAUAUUAAGCUGCAGUUGGAUCGACAUCUGGUCAUCCUCAAAUAAGCCGGAUUCACUGACUAGAAAUUUAAUCCCGAUUUUCGGGAACUGUAGAAAACGCUGUACGUCAAGUUUUGUAUCAACUCAAUAAAAAUGCAACGGCAGCCCGUCAUACUCCUAGAAGUUCACCUGAGUUACUCCGGAGAAAAUGCCACUCUUCAAUAACGCUGUGGGAGAUAUUCCUGUUGCAGAGGAUCUAGAAUGGGCAGACUGCAGUGUCAAGACCUACAGUAUCAACUUCGAACAGCACGAAAGAAAUGUUGGCUUCAGUGUUACAACGCAUUUACCGAUGGACGAGUGAUUCGAUUAUUUCUGGUAUAUACUAGGAUCACGUCUGAAGGACAUUGAAAGGCAAG